AUGGACUCGCUGUACUCUGACUCUCCCAUUUGGAGGCAGUUGGUGACAACGGUGACAAGUGAGGGACCCACUUCGAGGCUUCAUCGUCAUGGAUGGGAAGCAGGCACAGCUCCUGCCUGCCCCAGCUCAAGAGCUUGGGAGCUUUUCCUUUGUCUUUUUAUUGUUCCCUUCGCUGAUGUUAUUUCCCUCUGUUUCACUUGUGUUUUAAUUACACAGCAGCUCGGGGCACCCACACACCUCCAGAACCAAAAGCUGUGCUUUGCGUCUUACGUGAGAGGAUGUGCUCACACAUCGGUGGGAAGCAAGCGGAGAUCUCAUCGUCCCCAGCAGUGCCAGGACGUAGGGAGAUAAUGGAGACCAGAAACAAGCAUCUUCCUGGAAUGAUCCCCACCAGACAAGCUCUCUUCAGGCUGCCCUCGCUGUACCCUCCCACGGUAUGUACAGGCCCAGACACGAGGCGACAAAGCAUGUGGGAAGUCAACAUCAAAGCCAGUGCUUGUUGCGGAGCCUUCCUCAGGCCCUGUCAUCUCAGGAGUGGGCUGGAUAGCCUGGUGCCAAAAUUACUGUGUUUCCACAGAGCAGGAUUUAUACAGUCUGGAGAUUUUGUGUAGCAGGCCUGGUAGAAACCAUCAAAGGGAGAAACAGCUGGUUACAGGAACCGAUAAGGAGGUAUGUGCCACAGAAUGAGGAUUCUUCCAGGCAAAUGAAGACGGGCUGGUGAUUUAUGUGUAGUGGAAAUUAGUUAUCAUUAAAACAGAUGGGUUGGAGGAAUGAGAAGGGAAGCUCAGUCACAGGAGUCCUGGGAGGUGGUGAACAAGUCCAGAAGGCUCAUACCCCAGGAGAAACACAAAGCUAUGCUGGGCUCCUCUUGGAAGAAAGGAAGCACAAGCCAGGUGCAGAAUGAGGCCUCUGGGCCAGAGAAUGUCCACUUGCUCCGCAAACACGAGUGAAUGAAGCACCACCACAGAGCGAGUGCUUCUAUCCCCGUUUCUGGUGGGACAUAGAGCUGUAAAUGAGGAGGCACCACUGGAGGUUCUGGAAAACAGAGCUGGUCAUGUCUGGAAGUUUGUAUGGAGAUACUUUGGUUACAGAGGAAGAGUAAUGCAGUGAAAAUGAGUAUAAUUUAAGAUGAGGUAAAGAGACCACAAAUAAAUGGAAGCCUCUG
This 1165-nucleotide long non-coding RNA is filed under the name Anser brachyrhynchus (Pink-footed goose). Its description in RNAcentral is "lncRNA (ENSABRG00000016820.1)". Lineage: Eukaryota; Metazoa; Chordata; Aves; Anseriformes; Anatidae. The record is from RNAcentral.